AGCGAACGCUGGCGGCAGGCCUAACACAUGCAAGUCGAGCGGCCGUAGCAAUACGGCAGCGGCAGACGGGAUAGUAACACGUGGGAACGCGCCCUUCGGUUCGGAAUAACUCAGGGAAACUUGAGCUAAUACCGGAUACGCCCUUACGGGGAAAGAUUUAUUGCCGAAGGAACGGCCCGCGUCGGAUUAGCUAGUUGGUGAGGUAAUGGCUCACAAGGCGACGAUCCGUAGCUGGUCUGAGAGGA
Molecule: ribosomal RNA, 245 nt
Filed under: uncultured bacterium
Lineage: Bacteria
Description: partial 16S ribosomal RNA
Rfam family: Bacterial small subunit ribosomal RNA
Source: RNAcentral